RNAcentral lists this ribosomal RNA (497 nucleotides) under uncultured bacterium. Its description in RNAcentral is "partial 16S ribosomal RNA". It matches the Rfam family "Bacterial small subunit ribosomal RNA", at positions 28 to 507 of the family's 1533-position model. The record is from RNAcentral.
GAUGAACGCUGGCGGCGUGCCUAAUACAUGCAAGUCGAGCGAACGGACGAGAAGCUUGCUUCUCUGAUGUUAGCGGCGGACGGGUGAGUAACACGUGGAUAACCUACCUAUAAGACUGGGAUAACUUCGGGAAACCGGAGCUAAUACCGGAUAAUAUUUUGAACCGCAUGGUUCAAAAGUGAAAGACGGUCUUGCUGUCACUUAUAGAUGGAUCCGCGCUGCAUUAGCUAGUUGGUAAGGUAACGGCUUACCAAGGCAACGAUGCAUAGCCGACCUGAGAGGGUGAUCGGCCACACUGGAACUGAGACACGGUCCAGACUCCUACGGGAGGCAGCAGUAGGGAAUCUUCCGCAAUGGGCGAAAGCCUGACGGAGCAACGCCGCGUGAGUGAUGAAGGUCUUCGGAUCGUAAAACUCUGUUAUUGGGGAAGAACAUAUGUGUAAGUAACUGUGCACAUCUUGACGGUACCUAAUCAGAAAGCCACGGCUAACCACGUG